CAUGCCCCAGAACAGUAGCCAAUGCCAGCCCGGGAUUGGUUAACCAGGAAUAAAUCCAUCAACAGUACAAAGCCUGGCAACUAUCUCUCUGAGUUCAUAAUUCUCUUGCUCAGGAUGAUCCAUCAAUCUGGCAGAGAUGGCUCUGGUAUAGUACCGGCAAAGUGCGUCUUCAAAAUAAAUGAAGAUCGCAGGGUCAGACCACAGGACGGGAGACCGGAACAGAACCUGCUGAUGCAAAUGAUGCAUGAAGUGUUUAUGCAUAUGCUUGUUUUUAUUUCAAA
This 281-nucleotide long non-coding RNA is filed under the name Lathyrus oleraceus (garden pea). RNAcentral's name for it is "Pisum sativum (pea) long non-coding RNA (PSAT_LNC041327)". The record is from RNAcentral. Lineage: Eukaryota; Viridiplantae; Streptophyta; Magnoliopsida; Fabales; Fabaceae.